UACACUAAGACUAUGAAAGGGAAGUUGAUUAAGAACUUAAUCUUUUCUUUCUAAAGUCUUAGCAUGAUUCUCUUUAGCUAAAUAACCUUUACUUUGUUUUGUAGGUUCUUAAUAAAGAGGAAACUGUGUACAUACAAAUAAGGGAGGCUACCAAGGAUGCAAAUCAAGAAAACCAAGAAGGAAGCAGGCGGCGCUCCAGCGCCCCCUAAAAGGGCGCCCAGGCACCAGAAACCCAAGAUCAUCUUCUUCACACGGAUUGCUGACAUGGUAGGCAGUACCUUGGCUUCCUAGUUUCCCAGACUGUGUAGCUUUCUUAGCAAGCUUCUUUUACACUUAGAAUAGCUUCCUUAGCAUGUUUUGGAGUCACUCCUUCAUCUAUAAAAGGAAGUCUCCUUACAUUGUAAAAGCUAACUUUGAAACUUAAUCAAAUGCUGUUGAGAUUUCUCCAGAAUCAUUUUUCAGAGUUCAAACACUUGUGCCUAUUCUGCACAC
Molecule: long non-coding RNA, 492 nt
Filed under: Vigna radiata
Lineage: Eukaryota; Viridiplantae; Streptophyta; Magnoliopsida; Fabales; Fabaceae
Description: long non-coding RNA (VRAD_LNC004774)
Source: RNAcentral